AGCAGCCGCGGUAAUUCCAGCUCCAAUAGCGUAUAUUAAAGUUGUUGCAGUUAAAAAGCUCGUAGUUGAAUUUCGAGAUCAAAUUGUCGGUCGUGCCUCGGUACGUACUGGCAUUAUUGAUUUCUCCCUUCUGAAGAACCACGAUGUCAUUAAUUUGGUGUCGUGGGGAAUCAGGACUGUUACUUUGAAAAAUUGAGUGUUUAAAGCAGGCUCACGCUUGAAUACAUUAGCAUGGAAUAAUGAAAUAGGACGUUUGAUUCUAUUUUGUUGGUUUCUAGGAUCGACGUAAUGAUUAAUAGGGAUAGUUGGGGGCAUUAGUAUUCAAUUGUCAGAGGUGAAAUUCUUGGACUUAUUGAAGACUAACUACUGCGAAAGCAUUUGCCAAGGAUGUUUUCAUUAAUCAAGAACGAAAGUUAGGGGAUCGAAGACGAUCAGAUACCGUCGUAGUCU
Molecule: ribosomal RNA, 450 nt
Filed under: uncultured Glomus
Lineage: Eukaryota; Fungi; Glomeromycota; Glomeromycetes; Glomerales; Glomeraceae
Description: SSU rRNA
Rfam family: Eukaryotic small subunit ribosomal RNA
Source: RNAcentral